This 483-nucleotide ribosomal RNA is filed under the name uncultured bacterium. RNAcentral describes it as "partial 16S ribosomal RNA". It matches the Rfam family "Bacterial small subunit ribosomal RNA", at positions 28 to 507 of the family's 1533-position model. The record is from RNAcentral.
AUUGAACGCUGGCGGCAUGCUUUACACAUGCAAGUCGAACGGCAGCGCGGGCUUCGGCCUGGCGGCGAGUGGCGAACGGGUGAGUAAUGCAUCGGAACGUGCCCAGUAGUGGGGGAUAGCCCGGCGAAAGCCGGAUUAAUACCGCAUACGACCUGAGGGUGAAAGCGGGGGACCGAAAGGCCUCGCGCUAUUGGAGCGGCCGAUGUCGGAUUAGCUAGUUGGUGGGGUAAAGGCUUACCAAGGCGACGAUCCGUAGCUGGUCUGAGAGGACGACCAGCCACACGGGGACUGAGACACGGCCCAGACUCCUACGGGAGGCAGCAGUGGGAAUUUUGGACAAUGGGGGCAACCCUGAUCCAGCCAUGCCGCGUGCGGGAAGAAGGCCUUCGGGUUGUAAACCGCUUUUGUUCGGGAAGAAAUCCUCUGGGCUAAUACCCCGGGGGGAUGACGGUACCGGAAGAAUAAGCACCGGCUAACUACGUG